RNAcentral lists this ribosomal RNA (403 nucleotides) under uncultured bacterium. RNAcentral describes it as "bacterial SSU rRNA". It matches the Rfam family "Bacterial small subunit ribosomal RNA", at positions 355 to 775 of the family's 1533-position model. The record is from RNAcentral.
UGGGGAAUAUUGCGCAAUGGGGGCAACCCUGACGCAGCAACGCCGCGUGAAGGAAGAAGGCCUUCGGGUUGUAAACUUCUUUGAUCGGGGACGAAACUGACGGUAUCCGAGGAACAAGCCACGGCUAACUACGUGCCAGCGGCCGCGGUAAUACGUAGGUGGCAAGCGUUGUCCGGAAUUACUGGGCGUAAAGGGCGUGUAGGCGGGGCGGCAAGUCAGGUGUGAAAUCCCGGGGCUUAACUCUGGAGCUGCAUCUGAAACUGCUGUUCUUGAGUGCUGGAGAGGAAAGUGGAAUUCCCAGUGUAGCGGUGAAAUGCGUAGAGAUUGGGAGGAACACCAGUGGCGAAGGCGGCUUUCUGGACAGUAACUGACGCUGAGGCGCGAAAGCGUGGGGAGCAAACAG